Molecule: ribosomal RNA, 456 nt
Filed under: uncultured bacterium
Lineage: Bacteria
Description: bacterial SSU rRNA
Rfam family: Bacterial small subunit ribosomal RNA
Source: RNAcentral
GGCGCAGCAGUCGAGGAAUAUUGGUCAAUGGGCGCAAGCCUGAACCAGCCAUGCCGCGUGAAGGAAGACGGCCCUAUGGGUUGUAAACUUCUUUUGUCAGGGAAUAAACGAUGGUAUGUAUACCGUCCUGAAGGUACCUGAAGAAUAAGCAUCGGCUAACUCCGUGCCAGCAGUCGCGGUAAUACGGAGGAUGCAAGCGUUAUCCGGAUUCAUUGGGUUUAAAGGGUGCGCAGGCGGAUUGGUAAGUCAGGGGUGAAAUCCCACAGCUCAACUGUGGAACUGCCUUUGAUACUGUCAGUCUAGAGUAUAGUUGAAGUUGGCGGAAUGUGUCAUGUAGCGGUGAAAUGCUUAGAUAUGACACAGAACACCGAUCGCGAAGGCAGCUGACUAAGCUAUAACUGACGCUCAUGCACGAAAGCGUGGGGAUCAAACAGGAUUAGAUACCCGUGUAGUCCU